UACGUAGGUGACAAGCGUUGUCCGGAUUUACUGGGCGUAAAGAGCGCGCAGGCGGUCGUUCAAGUCGAGUGUGAAAGCCCCCGGCUCAACUGGGGAGGGUCACUCGAUACUGAUCGACUCGAAGGCAGGAGAGGGUAGUGGAAUUCCCGGUGUAGUGGUGAAAUGCGUAGAUAUCGGGAGGAACACCUAUGGCGAAGGCAGCUCGCUGGGACGUUACUGACGCUGAGACGCGAAAGCGUGGGGAGCAAACAGG
This 253-nucleotide ribosomal RNA is filed under the name uncultured bacterium. RNAcentral describes it as "partial 16S ribosomal RNA". It matches the Rfam family "Bacterial small subunit ribosomal RNA", at positions 524 to 776 of the family's 1533-position model. The record is from RNAcentral.